Molecule: ribosomal RNA, 314 nt
Filed under: uncultured bacterium
Lineage: Bacteria
Description: bacterial SSU rRNA
Rfam family: Bacterial small subunit ribosomal RNA
Source: RNAcentral
GAUGAACGCUAGCGGCAGGCUUAACACAUGCAAGUCGAGGGGCAGCAUGAACUUAGCUUGCUAAGUUUGAUGGCGACCGGCGCACGGGUGAGUAACACGUAUCCAACCUGCCGAUGACUCGGGGAUAGCCUUUCGAAAGAAAGAUUAAUACCCGAUGGCAUAGUUCUUCCGCAUGGUAGGACUAUUAAAGAAUUUCGGUCAUCGAUGGGGAUGCGUUCCAUUAGCUUGUUGGCGGGGUAACGGCCCACCAAGGCAUCGAUGGAUAGGGGUUCUGAGAGGAAGGUCCCCCACAUUGGAACUGAGACACGGUCCAA